Melopsittacus undulatus (budgerigar) is the source of this 1410-nucleotide long non-coding RNA. RefSeq lists it as uncharacterized. The transcript has 3 exons. The record is from RefSeq and is a predicted model, not a curated record. Lineage: Eukaryota; Metazoa; Chordata; Aves; Psittaciformes; Psittaculidae.
GAGCGCACACAAACAGUGCAGGGCUCCGGUGGGAAGCGCUGCCUGCACGAUAAGGCAGGCAAGGAAAACACAUCCAUCUUCAUGUCUCUUGGCCUGAGACGAAGUUUCAUCCGCUGUCAUUUUCCUGGCGCAGGCUCAGGGCACACCACAAUUCACCUGAGGAGUCAGACGCCGGGGAGCCAGCUCCCAUUCCUGGCGAGAGGUGUCAGCCCCGACUGGUGCAGAGUGCGAGGAGCUGGCAGAAAACCAUCUAGGAUGAAAAAGCAGUGCUUGUGUAUCCACAUCUGACCUGAAAGCUCCGUGUGGACCUGGGAGACUGAAACCCACCAUUGGCACAAAGCAAAAUCAGGACUAGCCAGCACUCAAAGGUGAAAAUUAAAGCAGGACACAAGGAACCCACUGACUGCAAUACAUUCAGUCGUGGAUGAUUCAUGGAGUAAUUCUGAGUAGCAAACACACUGGGCACAAAGAACAUCCAAAGAUGGAGCAGGUGACCAGGCCUGUACCAGGGAGACACUGAGCAGACAUGGACCCAGAGGCCCCAGAGACCAGCUGGGGUGCCAGGGCAGAGAUGAUUGCCAGGAAAUUGGUUUGAAGGUAAAGCUGGCGUCGUCCAGCCUGGCUGUUCGUUAUUUGAGGGCUCAUCAUCAUCUUCCCAUGGAUUCCUACUUCCCAACUAUGUCCACGCCUUGCAGAGGGUUCCUUGAUCUGCUGGUUUGUAUCUAGAGGGCUGCUGCAAAAGUUGUUGUGCUGGCCAGUGGCUUAGACCACAUCAUUCCUCCCCAUGCUCCUCCCUGGCACCCUCUUUUUUUUCUGCCCCAAUUGUGGACUCUUCAUCUUCCCCCUCCCAGCCCUUCAUUAUCCACCUCUCCUCCACCCAGCAUCUCCCAUGCAACAGAGACUGUCUCCAUCGCCCUUUCCCAACAAGCCCCUUCAUGCUCUCUCCUGCUUUGCCCCACACCUGGGAGAAGCAGUCUCUGAGCGCUUGCAAAGCCACCACCUCGCGCUCCUGGAAGCUGUUCUUUGUCACCCCAUCUGCAGAAGCCUUCACCGCAGGGGUGCUGUGCUGCGCUCGCCGCCCGCAGGCAGCGCCUCCCCGCUCCCCCCUGCUCCCGGCAUUCCUCCCCUCCUGCCCGACUGAGCACAGCUUCAUCCUUCUCCAUCGGCUCCGUGGCUCUGCAGCGCCCAGCAGGACACGGUCCUCCCCAGGGCUGGGAGCCCAGAGCCGAGCCGAGCCACGGCCGGGCCAGCAGCUGUGGCAGUGCCUCCCACGGGGCAGAAGCUAUCACAUCAGUACAAGUCCUUCCUCCUCCGGUGCCGCCCCUCCGCCGUUACCCGGGGCAGCUGACGGCCCCUCCGGUGCCCUCUCAUAACGGGCCGUUGAACACCGGCGGCACCUCAGCCCCCGGC